Molecule: ribosomal RNA, 31 nt
Filed under: Trebouxia jamesii
Lineage: Eukaryota; Viridiplantae; Chlorophyta; Trebouxiophyceae; Trebouxiales; Trebouxiaceae
Description: partial 18S ribosomal RNA
Source: RNAcentral
UUCCGUGGUGAACCUGCGGAAGGAUCAUUGA